GGGGAUGAAACAGGCUCGACAUGCAUAGUAAAGGGGAUAGCUUUUGCUCGGUGAGAAAACAGCCGUUUCAAGUGAUCAAAACUUAUAAGUGCAAACGAUAAUUUCGUUUCCGCUAAUGAUAAUAAUAGCACUGCUAACUUAGUAGCUGCUUAGUUUUAUAAUUAGCACGGUUUUUUGGGGUUUUCCGGGUAACAGAAAAACCCCUCC
RNAcentral lists this transfer-messenger RNA (207 nucleotides) under Ehrlichia ruminantium str. Welgevonden. RNAcentral describes it as "transfer-messenger RNA Ehrli_rumin_Gardel". It matches the Rfam family "Alphaproteobacteria transfer-messenger RNA", at positions 148 to 355 of the family's 355-position model. From Rfam's summary of the family: Bacterial tmRNA, also known as 10Sa RNA or SsrA, is named for its dual tRNA and mRNA-like properties. Its role is to liberate the mRNA from a stalled ribosome. RNAcentral also lists the same sequence under 1 other name. The record is from RNAcentral. Lineage: Bacteria; Pseudomonadati; Pseudomonadota; Alphaproteobacteria; Rickettsiales; Anaplasmataceae.